UGCACACAAAUCCUUGUGCCUGCAAAGGGUGCGUCAGUGCCGCUUGCCUUUCAUGUGUGCUGUGCGCCAUGUCAUUGUCCCUUGCAUGGUACAUGUGUGGACUGCUCAAGAUUUAUGGCUGUAAUUUUUGCUGCCACUUCAGAUGGCAUUCAGCGGACAGUUGGCCACUAAGUGUGCACGUGUCGGGAGGACCAAUACAGUCAGAUUCCAUAAUAGAAAGUUAUCGCCUGUUUUCGCACAAUGUUGCGUCUCUCCCUCCUCUCCACUAGUAGUGUGUCAGUGAGGUACUAGCCUUACUGUAUGGUUUGUUCAUCAAGAAAGGG
Long non-coding RNA from Thalassophryne amazonica, 323 nucleotides. RefSeq lists it as uncharacterized. The record is from RefSeq and is a predicted model, not a curated record. NCBI's taxonomy places the organism in Eukaryota, Metazoa, Chordata, Actinopteri, Batrachoidiformes, Batrachoididae. The transcript has 3 exons.